CCUACGGGAGGCAGCAGUGGGGAAUAUUGCGCAAUGGGCGAAAGCCUGACGCAGCGACGCCGCGUGAGGGAUGAAGGUCUUCGGAUCGUAAACCUCUGUCAGCAGGGAAGAACGGUCACUGUGCUAAUCAGCAGUGAAUUGACGGUACCUGCAAAGGAAGCACCGGCUAACUCCGUGCCAGCAGCCGCGGUAAUACGGAGGGUGCGAGCGUUAAUCGGAAUUACUGGGCGUAAAGCGCUCGUAGGCGGUAUGUCAAGUCAAGGGUGAAAUCCCCGCGCUCAACGUGGGAACUGCCUUUGAAACUGGCAAACUGGAGGGUGAGAGAGGAUAGUGGAAUUCCAGGUGAAGGAGUGAAAGCCGUAGAUAGAUGGAGGAACAUCAGUGGCGAAGGCGACUAUCUGGCACAUAACUGACGCUGAGGGGCGAAAGCGUGGGUAGCAAACAGGAUUAGAUACCCUAGUAGUC
This 465-nucleotide ribosomal RNA is filed under the name uncultured bacterium. RNAcentral describes it as "partial 16S ribosomal RNA". It matches the Rfam family "Bacterial small subunit ribosomal RNA", at positions 338 to 795 of the family's 1533-position model. The record is from RNAcentral.